GUGAACGCUGGCGGUAGGCCUAACACAUGCAAGUCGAACGGCAGCACAGUAAGAUCUUGCUCUUACGGGUGGCGAGUGGCGGACGGGUGAGGAAUACAUCGGAAUCUACUUUUUCGUGGGGGAUAACGUAGGGAAACUUACGCUAAUACCGCAUACGACCUACGGGUGAAAGCAGGGGAUCUUCGGACCUUGCGCGAUUGAAUGAGCCGAUGUCGGAUUAGCUAGUUGGCGGGGUAAAGGCCCACCAAGGCGACGAUCCGUAGCUGGUCUGAGAGGAUGAUCAGCCACACUGGAACUGAGACACGGUCCAGACUCCUACGGGAGGCAGCAGUGGGGAAUAUUGGACAAUGGGCGCAAGCCUGAUCCAGCCAUACCGCGUGGGUGAAGAAGGCCUUCGGGUUGUAAAGCCCUUUUGUUGGGAAAGAAAAGCAGCAGGUUAAUACCCCGCUGUUCUGACGGUACCCAAAGAAUAAGCACCGGCUAACUUCGUG
Molecule: ribosomal RNA, 491 nt
Filed under: uncultured bacterium
Lineage: Bacteria
Description: partial 16S ribosomal RNA
Rfam family: Bacterial small subunit ribosomal RNA
Source: RNAcentral